GAGGACGGCUAGAGCGUUGCUCGCCGAGAGACUUCCUCUUCGUUAAGUCGGCCUUCCCAACAUGGCGCAGUCUAUUAACAUCACGGAGCUGAAUCUGCCGCAGCUAGAAAUGCUCAAGAACCAGCUGGACCAGGAAGUGGAGUUCUUGUCCACGUCCAUUGCUCAGCUCAAAGUGGUACAGACCAAGUAUGUGGAAGCCAAGGACUGUCUGAACGUGCUGAACAAGAGCAACGAGGGUAUGGGGUAGGCGGGUGAGGGUAACCUAAAGUGGCGAACCUGCUUCUCUCGUCCCACCUCCUAACCCAGUUUUUCUUACCUGAAACGAGAAAAUCCAUUACAUAUCGUAUACCGCUUCAUGAACCCUUUGCAUGUUGCCUGCCUAGAAUUGAAAAGUACAGGACAUUCCUCUGCUCCUAUUGCCCCUGUUUCCGUUCUUUUCACACUGUCUGUGGGUGCUGUGCCCUGUUGGAACUCUCUUUAACGUCUUACGUUGGAGCCGCUAACCUUCCCCAGGUGUUUGUCUUCAUUGCUUUCACAGGGAAAGAAUUACUCGUCCCACUGACGAGUUCUAUGUAUGUCCCUGGGAAGCUGCAUGAUGUGGAACACGUGCUCAUCGAUGUGGGAACUGGGUACUAUGUAGAGAAGACAGCUGAGGAUGCCAAGGACUUCUUCAAGAGGAAGAUAGAUUUUCUAACCAAGCAGAUGGAGAAAAUCCAACCAGCUCUUCAGGAGAAGCACGCCAUGAAACAGGCCGUCAUGGAAAUGAUGAGUCAGAAGAUUCAGCAGCUCACAGCCCUGGGGGCAGCUCAGGCUACUGCUAAGGCCUGAGAGUUUUUGCAGAAAUGGGGCAGAGGGACACCCUUUGGGCGUGGCUUCCUGGUGAUGGGAAGGGUCUUGUGUUUUAAUGCCAAUAAAUGUGCCAGCUGGGCAGAAUGUUGGUCUUUUCUUGGAUUAAGCAAGGGACUGGUGAUGAGAUGGGGGGUGUGGUCGAGAGUGUGGGCCCCGUCUCAGAGCCUGAUGCGCAGGGGUGAUGCGAUGCGCCUCUUGGAGGCUCCAUCGCAGGGCCCUUUGACCAGCUGGAAGAAAUCCUAGGCUGGGAGUCUGCUGCUGCUCACUCUGCAGAGCUGGUUGCCAAGGGAACGGUUGGCAAGCGGAAGUGGGGCUGCGCUGGCGCUUCCUCUUCCGGGUCGGCGCUCCUGCCUCCCUGCAGGGAGCUGCUUAUGGGACACCAAUUCCUGCGCGGCCUCUUAACGCUGCUGCUGCCGCCGCCACCCCUGUAUACCCGGCACCGCAUGCUCGGUCCAGAGUCCGUCCCGCCCCCAAAACGAUCCCGCAGCAAACUCAUGGCACCGCCCCGAAUCGGGACGCACAAUGGCACCUUCCACUGCGACGAGGCACUGGCAUGCGCACUGCUUCGCCUCCUGCCGGAGUACCGGGAUGCAGAGAUUGUGCGGACCCGGGAUCCCGAAAAACUCGCUUCCUGUGACAUCGUGGUGGACGUGGGGGGCGAGUACGACCCUCGGAGACACCGAUAUGACCAUCACCAGAGGUCUUUCACAGAGACCAUGAGCUCCCUGUCCCCUGGGAAGCCGUGGCAGACCAAGCUGAGCAGUGCGGGACUCAUCUAUCUGCACUUCGGGCACAAGCUGCUGGCCCAGUUGCUGGGCACUAGUGAAGAGGACAGCAUGGUGGGCACCCUCUAUGACAAGAUGUAUGAGAACUUUGUGGAGGAGGUGGAUGCUGUGGACAAUGGGAUCUCCCAGUGGGCAGAGGGGGAGCCUCGAUAUGCACUGACCACUACCCUGAGUGCACGAGUUGCUCGACUUAAUCCUACCUGGAACCACCCCGACCAAGACACUGAGGCAGGGUUCAAGCGUGCAAUGGAUCUGGUUCAAGAGGAGUUUCUGCAGAGAUUAGAUUUCUACCAACACAGCUGGCUGCCAGCCCGGGCCUUGGUGGAAGAGGCCCUUGCCCAGCGAUUCCAGGUGGACCCAAGUGGAGAGAUUGUGGAACUGGCGAAAGGUGCAUGUCCCUGGAAGGAGCAUCUCUACCACCUGGAAUCUGGGCUGUCCCCUCCAGUGGCCAUCUUCUUUGUUAUCUACACUGACCAGGCUGGACAGUGGCGAAUACAGUGUGUGCCCAAGGAGCCCCACUCAUUCCAAAGCCGGCUGCCCCUGCCAGAGCCAUGGCGGGGUCUUCGGGACGAGGCCCUGGACCAGGUCAGUGGGAUCCCUGGCUGCAUCUUCGUCCAUGCAAGCGGCUUCACUGGCGGUCACCACACCCGAGAGGGUGCCUUGAGCAUGGCCCGUGCCACCUUGGCCCAGCGCUCAUACCUCCCACAAAUCUCCUAGUCUAAUAAA
Homo sapiens (human) is the source of this 2360-nucleotide long non-coding RNA. NCBI's taxonomy places the organism in Eukaryota, Metazoa, Chordata, Mammalia, Primates, Hominidae. The record is from Ensembl.